This 253-nucleotide ribosomal RNA is filed under the name uncultured bacterium. RNAcentral's name for it is "partial 16S ribosomal RNA". It matches the Rfam family "Bacterial small subunit ribosomal RNA", at positions 524 to 776 of the family's 1533-position model. The record is from RNAcentral.
GACGACCCGAGCGAACGUUGUUCGGAAUCACUGGGCUUAAAGGGUGCGUAGGCGGGCUGCCAAGUUUGGGGUGAAAUCCUCCGGCUCAACCGGGGAAGUGCCUCGAAUACUGGCGGUCUGGAGGGAGGUAGGGGCGUGCGGAACUAACGGUGGAGCGGUGAAAUGCGUUGAUAUCGUUAGGAACUCCGGUGGCGAAGGCGGCCUGCUGGACCCUCACUGACGCUGAGGCGCGAAAGCCAGGGGAGCGAACGGG